UUUGGGGAGAAGAAGAAGGAAAAAGAAAGAAAGAAAGAAGAUUGGCAACAGAUGUUAACUCAGGUGCCAAUCUUUAAAACAAACAAAAAAAUGGAUGCGCACCCCGCACCCCAAGACCAAUUAAGUCAGAACCUCGGAGGGUAGGGACUCCACCAUCCCCGGGUGGCUGCAGCCAAGUUUGAGCGAACCACUGCUGGACGGCUUUCCGCUGUAAAACCCUCCUGAGGUUUCUUUUUGUCUAAGCGGCAGGUCAUCUGAUGUUCCACUAGGUGGCACCUUCCAGCAAACUUCAGUGGGUCCAGAGAGGUCUCGUCUAGGUCUAACUGUAAGGAAAGAUUUCAGAAAACAAGGCUGGGUGGUCUUUACUGGCGACGCGGGGUCUGCGCUCUUGAUGAGAAGGCUGGACUUGUUCGUUAACAACUUGCUGGUGAGCGCUACAGCCUCAGAAGGUUAAGAUUCGUCCCUGCUGGGAAACUGAGGCCUGGAGAGAGGCAGCUCCAUCCCUUAUGGCUGGGCUGACCCAUUCACCAGUGCACUCUGGUCUCUUCCCUCCAAUGCGUCCAGCAGAAACAGCAAACCCCCACUCAAAAGUCCUCGACGAGCCCCGUUAUGGGCAGUAGGGGACAUCUGUUCUUUUUAUCUGGUCAGUUAACAACACAGUGAUUUUCCUAGGAGAUUUGCUUUCCGGGUCUUAGCUGAGACGUUGAAUCAGAGCAGACUCUGCCCUCAGCUUCUUUCUUAGCCAAUCAGAGCGCGCUAUCACCUUCUGCUACAGUGAUUGGUGCAGAGAUGGAGACUUGACCUACCCAAGGCAAAUUAGAACAAUUGCAUUUCAAUUCUGUGGUUUUUUACGUAGAGGUUAUCGGCAAGUAGUGGCCCCUUCCAGCUCUGAUUAGUGAGAGGACUGACUACGUAGAAUACAUCAAUGGGCUUCCUUGCUCUCUGUCUUCCUGUUGGGGUUGGCACUUGGAGAGCCAGGGCAGGGUUUCAGAGGGAGGAAGAAGAGCCAGGCUUAGGGCUGCACAGCACACCGCUGUUUCUAGCCCCAGGGAGCUGCACUGUCCCUUGUGCUACCUUAUACCAUGUUCCCCCCUCCUCUUGUUAAACCCUCCUCACGUUUCCCAGUGUGGGACAGCCAUCCGUUUUCUGCUGAGACCCUGACUGAAUUAAGUGAAGCUUCCUGAGAACAAAGAAACAGCACCAACAUGGAGGAAAGCGCAGCUGAGAGAUCAUCCAGUUACCCGAGCCGGCCCCUGCCGUCAUGCUUACCUCCACUCCACUCACCUCCCACAUUCAGACAAUUACCUAAUAAAGCUGAUUUUAUUGCGUCAUAAAUUUUAAAUUUAUCCUUUCCCCUCUGGCCUACUAUAUGACACAUAUUUCAGGUCUGCAAGGAGAAUCCCCGAUCAGAACCCGGCUACCUCACAUGGCCAAAUUCCCUAGCUGUGGACCAGCCUCAACCCUCAUCCAUGGCCUGGCCCUUGGCCUAGCAUUUGCCUGACCUGGAUCAAAAGGAUGAGCAGAGCCACUCAGACUCUGUCUCGGAAAUUGGAAUCAAGUGGCACAGAGGGAAGAAGGCAGCUGGUGGUGAUCCCGGAAGGUGGAAGUUCAGGCGGCGUUAGGGUGGAGAUUGUUCUUGGGCCCUCACACGAGGAGAAGUUACGGGAAAGCAGAAACCGUGAGUAACCCAGGAAGUGCAACGGUCAACAGAAGACAACGGAGCAGAGGUGCAAGGAGCAGAGAUGCUGAGAGAGAAAGCUUAGAGAUGAGGUUUCCCAGUUCCAAUCCUGGUUUCUGGGAUGCCUGCCUGGAUCCCCGCCCUGGGGCUUCUCUGAGGCUUCCUGCUAUCUACCUUUUCCCCGGAGUUGGGAGUGAGUCUCUGUCCCUUAGGACCAAAGGAGCCCUGGCCUUGAUACC
This 1917-nucleotide long non-coding RNA is filed under the name Equus asinus (donkey). RNAcentral describes it as "lncRNA (ENSEASG00005030454.1)". Lineage: Eukaryota; Metazoa; Chordata; Mammalia; Perissodactyla; Equidae. The record is from RNAcentral.